This 208-nucleotide long non-coding RNA is filed under the name Elaeis guineensis (African oil palm). Its description in RNAcentral is "long non-coding RNA (EGUI_LNC081219)". Lineage: Eukaryota; Viridiplantae; Streptophyta; Magnoliopsida; Arecales; Arecaceae. The record is from RNAcentral.
GACAAAAGGAGUUCGGUAAAUGAUGACUCGAAGCAAGAAUAGAUGAGGAAUUACAAACUACGCUGAUGCCAAAUGAGGUGGAAGACUAAGGAAGCUCGGUAAACAACCAUUUAAUACCAGAAUGGACAAGGUAAUAGACAAUCUCAUUUUUAUUUCAUUGGUAAAGUAUACAUUACAAAGCCUUGAAGACCAAAAACAAAAAGAGAAA